UACGGGGGGAGCAAGCGUUGUUCGGAUUUACUGGGCGUAAAGGGCGCGUAGGCGGCCAGCACAAGUCAGUUGUGAAAUCUCCGAGCUUAACUCGGAAAGGUCAACUGAUACUGUGCGGCUAGAGUGCGGAAGGGGCAACUGGAAUUCUUGGUGUAGCGGUGAAAUGCGUAGAUAUCAGGAAGAACACCGGUGGCGAAAGCGCUCUGCUAGGCCGCAACUGACACUGAGGGACGAAAGCUAGGGGAGCGAAUGGG
This 254-nucleotide ribosomal RNA is filed under the name uncultured bacterium. RNAcentral describes it as "partial 16S ribosomal RNA". It matches the Rfam family "Bacterial small subunit ribosomal RNA", at positions 524 to 776 of the family's 1533-position model. The record is from RNAcentral.